RNAcentral lists this long non-coding RNA (434 nucleotides) under Rattus norvegicus (Norway rat). RNAcentral describes it as "long non-coding RNA NONRATT006909". The record is from RNAcentral. Lineage: Eukaryota; Metazoa; Chordata; Mammalia; Rodentia; Muridae.
CACAUCCCCAUUUACUGCCAGGUGGCUAAGUGACACAAGCCAGGCUGGGAGAAACUGUAGUGAAAACUGGUUCCAUGUGACCAUGGUGCACUGAUAGGAAACUGAAGAUUCGAGGAAGACUCCUCGGGGAAAAAGAAGUGUGAGUCGGGUUAUUAGAGGCUGCCUCUGUGUGAUCCAGUGGCCAAAAUCUGGAGCUGGAUUUUUAAAAAAUAGACUUUAUUCCAAAGAGAGAAAGCAAGGGAGAGACUUGAGAGCUCACUGGCUCUCUAGAAAGUGCAGGAAAAAGCAAUGUAUUGAUAAGAAGCAGAACCCUGCUUCAGAGACUCAGACUCCUGAUCAGAGGAACACCAGUGAUGCGAGAGGUGGGAGUCCUACCCCCAGGACACACUCAUAUACCCCCCCAAAACCUCAAAUCCAGUUGUGAGUCUUGGUGA